CAUUCCGACGAGUGAUUGGUCCGUGCUGAAGGUUGAUGAACCUUUACCCAGUGGUGGGCAGCACGUGAUCAUUCAGAUCAACAAGGAGACCGAGGAUCUGCUUUAUAAGCGCAACGGCAAAAUGGCGUGAGGCUUAGGGAGCGUGUACCUUCGCCUCAAAAAACGUCUUUCCAACGACCAGGACACCCACACGCUGAGGUCAGGAGAGGUUGAGGAGGAUCUCGGUCUUGAGAGCGUUACCGACGCCACCUUGCACCUCAGGCUGGCUGACGAGACGGAGGAGGUGGAGGAGGAACUGUCCAUGCAGACGGGCCCCACCGCGAGUUUGCAAACCUCUAAUGAGUGUGCUGCAACUUAACCUCCAUGAGUUCAAAACGGCUUCGGCGGAGCUACGCCUGGCCUUGAGGAAGAGUCCGCCUACGCGGCUUUGGUACAAGAACCGUGGAUAGCGUCGGGCAGCACAGUUGCUGGGCUGCAGUCGCCUAAUUACGAUCUGUACGUCCCGAAAUUGCAAUGACGAUCUUACCGUGGUGGUACUGGAGAGCCGUGAGGGAUGUUUGCUGCUGGCAUCCUGCUACAUGGCCCACGACGUACCGGCUCCACCUAAAGAGCUGCGGAGACUGGUGGACAUGGUCUGCUCCUCCAACAAACAACUAAUAAUCGCAACAGACCCCAACGCCCACCAUAGCGUCUGGGGAAGUCCCGACAUAAACGUAAGGGAUUUGGGGCCAUAUUGUUACGGACUGGUUGUCUUCCCUGGGACCGCGGCGGCUGGCUCAUCGGUACUCAGGGUGAGUUCCAUCUCUGGCCCGCAGUCCGCACAAUCCAUAACUCCAUCGAUACUAAACAGUUGCUUUAAAACGGAAAACUCAUUACUAACAAUACAAAGCAGCUGCCGCGCAAUUGAAAGUUGCGCUAAACAAAAGGAAAUAUAAAACAAACUAUUGACAACGGGCCACUUUUGGACCCCGGCGUACCCACCCUGCCUGAGAUGGCUACAUCGGCGUCAUUCCAAUUGCGUUGUCCACUACUUCAUUGGCUGCUCCAAUGUCCGGUGUAGUGCUGUGGAUUUCCCCUCCCCGCCAUGACGAGAAAACACAACCAUGUCGCUCAACGAUUCGAAACAAAAAGAAGAAACAAGGUGAAACAGCAAAGAAGCAACAACGGAGUAUGGGACAACUUAUAUAUAGUAUGUGACAGUAACGAAAACAAGGAUAUGUGUAUUUAUGUUUUUAAUGUAUACAAAUUAACAAAAAUUGAUUAGAUUUUUGUUUUUAAAAAAGCCAAGUGCUUUAUUCAGGAGUUGGAUUAGAACUAACUUAAGCAAUCUAAAUUAUUAAAAAUAAAGCUCUGCUGCUGAAGUUAC
Drosophila albomicans is the source of this 1366-nucleotide long non-coding RNA. RefSeq lists it as uncharacterized. The transcript has 5 exons. Lineage: Eukaryota; Metazoa; Arthropoda; Insecta; Diptera; Drosophilidae. The record is from RefSeq and is a predicted model, not a curated record.